UUAGCUAGGGUUUCCCUUGGCUGAUAUUUUUUAGUUUUGUGGGUUGUUUGGGCUUUAGGGCUUUUAGUUUUUUUUUUUGGGUUUUAAUUUGUAUUUGGGCUGAAAUCUGUUUUCGGCUGGUGAGAUAUUUUAAUUUUAUUUUGUCUGAUUUGAGUGUGUUGGGCCAGGAAAAAUUUGGGACUUACAGGAUUUAUUAAUUUCUGUUCUAUUAGUUUUAUUAGAACCGAGAGAACAACUCGUGAGAGCUAAAAGGCAUGAGCGAGUGAGAUUAUUCGAGUGGAAAAAGCCGAUUCGAGUGCAAACACAAGUAGAGCGAUUUUCC
Molecule: long non-coding RNA, 322 nt
Filed under: Gossypium raimondii (Peruvian cotton)
Lineage: Eukaryota; Viridiplantae; Streptophyta; Magnoliopsida; Malvales; Malvaceae
Description: long non-coding RNA (GRAI_LNC004818)
Source: RNAcentral